This 4327-nucleotide long non-coding RNA is filed under the name Medicago truncatula (barrel medic). RNAcentral's name for it is "long non-coding RNA (MTRU_LNC007968)". Lineage: Eukaryota; Viridiplantae; Streptophyta; Magnoliopsida; Fabales; Fabaceae. The record is from RNAcentral.
UGAUAAAAUUUUAGCAAGUGUACUAAAACUAUCGAAGUAAUAAAAUAAAUUCGUAUCCACGAGGACUGUGUUAAUCUCAACUUAGCAAUAAAGUUAAUAUCUAGGAUGUGUAAAUUUUAUAAGUGUCUGAGGCAGUAGAUUAGGGUGCAAUAAAAAGUAAAUAAUAGGAAAUAAAAUGGUUUGAUGAUUGAAUUAAAACAGAUGAUCAAACCAGUGAAUCCUCUAUUGCUUUAUGUGAAAUAGCUUAUCUCUCUUUACUCUCAACACUUAUUCAAUCUUUACGACAAAUUAACUAAUUAGUUUUGAUCAAUCUCUUGACUCAAAACCCUUUCCUAAGUUAAAACCUUUUAAUCUCUUAAACCGAUUGAAUAACCGCGGAAGCGAUGUCAGAAUGUUAAUUCAUAUGUCAUAACCCUCAAUUUUCUAUCUCUAGGUUCCUAUGUUGAAUUAAACAGAAUUACUAUUUCAGGAUUAAAAGCUAGGGUUAGUAGUCAUUCAAUUCCUAAGAUCAAUUUAUGUGAUUGCAAGAAGCUAGGGUUAAUAGUCAUGCAAGCAAUCAUAUGAAAAGCAAUGAACACAAAUAAUUCUGAAUAAAGACUGAAUAAUAUUGAUAAUAAAGAGAGUUUCAACUACAUUCAUAUAUUACAAUAGGUUCAUCAUGGCUCAAUCAAAGAGAAUUAGCUAGACAUGAUUAAAUAAAUAAACAACAUAGUAAGAAAAUAAAUCGAUAGAGUUUCGUCGAUGUCGGCGUUGCUCCUCAAUCUUCUUUCAAUCUGUGUUGUUUUCUCUCUCCCCUGUAGCGUCCCUUUUCCAAAACGUAAAUCCUAUAUUUAUUUCUUCCAAAAGUGUGAUCACCUUUCCUUGUUCCUGUACGUUUUCUCCUAUAAGCCCAUCAAUUAAUAUGUUGCUUUUUGUCACCUCUUGUUUUUCUCUUCUUUGAUUAUAUAAAUAUAACCAAUAAUAAUGAUAAUAACCUAUUAAUUCCAAUCAUUUGCUUGCUUGACUCAAUAGACCAAAAAUACCAUACUUUAUUUAAAUUGACUCUAAAUUAAAUACUAAACUAAUAAAACUAGACUAAAAACUUAUUAAAAAAAAACUUUAAAAAUAGUGAAUGACUGACUGUCAUCACAACCCCAAACUUGAACCAUUCCUUGUCCUCAAGGAUUUACUUGUAACAUUGACAAUUGACAGUAAAAUAACAAUUACCUGAUCAAGCGAUAGUACCCAAAAGUUCAACACCUUACUAGCUAAAGAUGAGCUAGUUUGACUUGUUAGCAACCACCAAUUCACAACUCCACGCAACAAUAUGAAAGGGUUCACACACAGUCGACAUGCAAUCUACAUAUUACCAUACGCUUGAAAAGUUUCUAAACGUCAAUCAAAAUCAAUGUCAAUGCACACUUUGAGGUCUUUAACGGUUAUAACGGGGCUUAGGUGAAGGUGAGAUAAUAUUUGGAUAAGUAGGCUACACAAAAUUUGAGUUAGGCAUUCCUACGGAAGUUAAGCACAAAAUUCAAUCCAUCAUUCAUUCACCUUUUGGAACAACAAUUCUUGCAAGGGUACUAGAAAUUAUUUAUAACAAUCGGGACAAUCGAGUUUGAAGUUACUCGGUUUUUCAAUGUCAUGUCCCUUUUUCAUUCUAUUAUAUUCUCUUUUUUUUUUUUUUGAACACACCAUUUUGGCAUAUUGUUUUCAUGAGAAUGUUUUUUUUUUCUUUGUUCUCUAGUACCCCACCCCAAACUUAAUUGGUUGCAAAUUCCAUUAGCAACCCCAAACUUAAUAUUUAGCAACAUUCUUCAAUGCCUAACUCAGAAAAACAAUAAGGGAUAAAUCCUAAAAGUCUCCAAGCUUGUAAUGUAGUUUGUCACCGAACAAAAAGUUCUAAACCUACCGGCUCAAUUUGGCUAAAGAAAGGAUAAUUAUUCAAAUAUAAACAGGGUAGGCUUCAAAAAGGCUCACAGGACCAAGCACUUUUGCCUCAGUGUGCUAAUGACAAAGAUCAAUCGACAGUAGAGAAAAAUUGCAAGUUCUAGAAAUGUAAAUGCAUGGAACACUCUUUAGAAGUAAAUUAGAAAAUAAAAUUUGGCCAUGAACCUUACAGUUUAGAUUUCUGGGAGUUGUGACUACCUAUCCUUAACUGCAGUACACUUCGCCUUUGAAAUCACAAGUCACUCCUCCUUUUGAACUUUUGGAAUACCACUUGAACACAUAUUUGUUACUAAACUGGAAAAAGUCAAUAAAACAAGAAAAUUCAUCAAUAAUAAACAAGUGCAAGAACAAUUACAUAACAGGGGGAUACAACUGAGUUAUUCAAACACACUGACAAUUGCCUGACUCAACAAUAGGAAUAAAAUACUGAAAAUAAAAACAUAAUAAAAAUGAUGGGUUGCCUCCCAUCAAGCGCUUUAUUUUACGUCAUUGAGCUUGACGCUCCAACCACUGUUAGGGUGGCAAAUAUGAUAGAAAGAAUAUAUCAUCCUUCUUCUUCCUCUUGUUUGGUAGGAAUUCCAUGAAUUUGGCACAAAGCAGUAGAUGCUCCCAUGCUCCAGCCACUAAAUCUUUGUCAUUUGAGCUCUCCCACCUUAAAGAAGGACAUGCAUCUAUUUGCACAAGAGUGAUUUCCUUAACCCCCGUUGAUCCAGACUUCGAGAAAAUAUCAACACUCCUCACUUUGGAAUUUUCUUCUACCACAACCUUGUGACACACAGUCUCCAUCUGAACCAACUUCCUCUGAGACUCAUGUGCUUUCUCAACAAGAUUACCACACUGAACAUCAAACUUCUCAAAUAAAACUUGAUUUGACACCAAGAAAUCAUCUAAAAUAUUUUGAAGUUGAGUAUUGUAACCGAUGUUGAUCAUCUCUUUCUUCUCUUCACAAUUACUACCUGGUUGAUCCCCCUCAUAACGACCACAUCUCUCAUUUAAUCUUGAGAUUUUAUUGUCAAAAUAUCCUAUCUUCAAAGAUAGCAUAUAUUUUUCAUACUUCAACAUACCAAUCUCUUUUGUGUCAUGGAGGUAUAACCUGUCUAUCAUAGCUGCAACACUUGAAUAAACUUUUUAGUAGCACAGUACAAUGAGAAGAAAAAGAAGAGCAUAAAUCAUUUUUUUUUUAUAAACAAAAAUAUAAAUGACAGAAAUCCUAAAUAAAAACAAAAUUACCAAAUUGAAAUGACUCAACAGUCCCCGGCAGCAGCGCCAAAAACUUGAUAAAAUUUUAGCAAGUGUACUAAAACUAUCGAAGUAAUAAAAUAAAUUCGUAUCCACGAGGACUGUGUUAAUCUCAACUUAGCAAUAAAGUUAAUAUCUAGGAUGUGUAAAUUUUAUAAGUGUCUGAGGCAGUAGAUUAGGGUGCAAUAAAAAGUAAAUAAUAGGAAAUAAAAUGGUUUGAUGAUUGGAUUAAAACAGAUGAUCAAGCCAGUGAAUCCUCUAUUGCUUUAUGUGAAAUAGCUUAUCUCUCUUUACUCUCAACACUUAUUCAAUCUUUACGACAAAUUAACUAAUUAGUUUUGAUCAAUCUCUUGACUCAAAACCCUUUCCUAAGUUAAAACAUUUUAAUCUCUUAAACCGAUUGAAUAACCGCGGAAGCGAUGUCAGAAUGUUAAUUCAUAUGUCAUAACCCUCAAUUUCCUAUCUCUAGGUUCCUAUGUUGAAUUAAACAGAAUUACUAUUUCAGGAUUAAAAGCUAGGGUUAGUAGUCAUUCAAUUCCUAAGAUCAAUUUAUGUGAUUGCAAGAAGCUAGGGUUAAUAGUCAUGCAAGCAAUCAUAUGAAAAACAAUGAACACAAAUAAUUCUGAAUAAAGACUGAAUAAUAUUGAUAAUAAAGAGAGUUUCAACUACAUUCAUAUAUUACAAUAGGUUCAUCAUGGCUCAAUCAAAGAGAAUUAGCUAGACAUGAUUAAAUAAAUAAACAACAUAGUAAGAAAAUAAACCGAUAGAGUUUCGUCGAUGUCGGCGUUGCUCCUCAAUCUUCUUUCAAUCUGUGUUGUUUUCUCUCCCCUGUAGCGUCCCUUUUCCAAAACGUAAAUCCUAUAUUUAUUUCUUCCAAAAGUGUGAUCACCUUUCCUUGUUCCUGUACGUUUUCUCCUAUAAGCCCAUCAAUUAAUAUGUUGCUUUUUGUCACCUCUUGUUUUUCUCUUCUUUGAUUAUAUAAAUAUAACCAAUAAUAAUGAUAAUAACCUAUUAAUUCCAAUCAUUUGCUUGCUUGACUCAAUAGACCAAAAAUACCAUACUUUAUUUAAAUUGACUCUAAAUUAAAUACUAAACUAAUAAAACUAGACUAAAAACUUAUUAAAAAAAAACUUUAAAAAUAGUGAAUGACUGACUGUCA